GAUGAACGCUGGCGGCGUGCCUAAUACAUGCAAGUCGAGCGAACAGACGAGGAGCUUGCUCCUCUGACGUUAGCGGCGGACGGGUGAGUAACACGUGGAUAACCUACCUAUAAGACUGGGAUAACUUCGGGAAACCGGAGCUAAUACCGGAUAAUAUAUUGAACCGCAUGGUUCAAUAGUGAAAGACGGUUUUGCUGUAACUUAUAGAUGGAUCCGCGCCGCAUUAGCUAGUUGGUAAGGUAACGGCUUACCAAGGCAACGAUGCGUAGCCGACCUGAGAGGAUGAUCGGCCACACUGGAACUGAGACACGGUCCAGACUCCUACGGGAGGCAGCAGUAGGGAAUCUUCCGCAAUGGGCGAAAACCUGACGGAGCAACGCCGCGUGAGUGAUGAAGGUCUUCGGAUCGUAAAACUCUGUUAUUAGGGAAGAACAAAUGUGUAAGUAACUAUGCACGUCUUGACGGUACCUAAUCAGAAAGCCACGGCUAACUACGUG
RNAcentral lists this ribosomal RNA (497 nucleotides) under uncultured bacterium. RNAcentral describes it as "partial 16S ribosomal RNA". It matches the Rfam family "Bacterial small subunit ribosomal RNA", at positions 28 to 507 of the family's 1533-position model. The record is from RNAcentral.